Molecule: ribosomal RNA, 435 nt
Filed under: uncultured archaeon
Lineage: Archaea
Description: bacterial SSU rRNA
Rfam family: Archaeal small subunit ribosomal RNA
Source: RNAcentral
GGACCUGACUGCUAUCGGAUUGCUAUCUAAGCCAUGCGAGUCAUUGUAGCAAUACAAGGCGUACGGCUCAGUAACGCGUAGUCAACCUAACCUAUGGACGGGAAUAACCUCGGGAAACUGAGAAUAAUGCCCGAUAGAACAUUAUGCCUGGAAUGGUUUAUGUUCCAAAUGAUUUAUCGCCGUAGGAUGGGACUGCGGCCUAUCAGUUUGUUGGUGAGGUAAUGGCCCACCAAGACUAUUACAGGUACGGGCUCUGAGAGGAGUAGCCCGGAGAUGGGUACUGAGACACGGACCCAGGCCCUAUGGGGCGCAGCAGGCGAGAAAACUUUGCAAUGUGCGAAAGCACGACAAGGUUAAUCCGAGUGGUUUCUGCUAAAGGAACCUUUUGUCAGUCCUAGAAACACUGAUGAAUAAGGGGUGGGCAAGUUCUGGUGU